UGCCGCGCCGGCUACGCCCGCGACGCCCGCCACGCCUGCUACUCCUGCCACGCCCGCUACGGACGACGACUCGCCGCUCGCGGGACACACAUCGGAGGACGAUGGAUACAUGAGCAUGAACGGAAGACGAGCGAAAUUCGCGUUAGGGUUCCGGCCGACGGAGGAGCGCGAGGAACCCUCGCCCCCCGACCCGCCGUCCCCGCGCUCCCCGCAUUCGCCGCAAUCCCCGCCGCCGCCGGAGGAGGCGCAGCGGAUCAUCUCUACGUUGCUACCCAAAGUGUCACCGGCAAAUUCUGGGAAGCGGACCAUUUCUGCGGAGAGGACCGAAGCUG
Papilio xuthus (Asian swallowtail) is the source of this 332-nucleotide long non-coding RNA. RefSeq lists it as uncharacterized. Lineage: Eukaryota; Metazoa; Arthropoda; Insecta; Lepidoptera; Papilionidae. The transcript is spliced from 3 exons. The record is from RefSeq and is a predicted model, not a curated record.